UGAUGGGCGCAGCUGAUCCCUUCUCCCCCUGGCGUCAAUCUCCUGUGUGCCCCUCUUUCAUCCGCGUCUGCAACUGAACUGGAAAAUCAGAAAUUUGGAAACGACUCCAUGUUGGUGUGAAAUCUUAGAUCAUGUCUUUGUUUUGCUUUGUUUCAGCUAGGUGUUGUUGACGUUGUCUCAUUGUAAUAUUGCCACAAAAUCGGGCGAGAGGUCAUCGUCCACAAUGUACGAAAAACUGUCUGAUCUACUGACUUGCCAAGUGUCCUGGCCUCGUGGGAUGGUCAAAUUCAGAAUUUGCAUUUUGCUCGUAUAGUCGUAUUGAGUCAUACGCCCCACCCUGGAUAACCUGCACUAGUUGUGUGUUCAUGCGGUUGGUCACCCGGGGAGCAGCUGUGGCUGUGUGCAUGGCGAUGCAGAGGCCGGGGUACUCUCUUUUUGAAAAAACUGGCACGCUGCUGGGAGCCUGGGACUCGAGGUUUUUGGCUCUUUCUGGUGCAAGAUCUCGUCGAUCUAGGUUCCUGGUGGCCAUCAUGCGAGCACGGGGUGUCUUCUUAAUUGGGUUCUCCACGCGCGGGAUAAUCCUUGUCAUUGUUUUCUGGUCAGCUAUACUAAACCGUCGUAUCUCACGAAGGAUCAGUUGUUUUCUUAACGGAAGAAAGAUCAAUCGAUUUGACGCAGAGUUAGCAGCAACGGAGAGACGUUUUGGCAUGACAAGGUUCACAUAUGAGUAGACGCACUCGAGCCCGUGACGUCGACGUGCGGCCGGUGCCGUGAGACGCGAUGCUUUCCUUUCCGGUCGCCGUCGUGAGUACAAGGCGACGUCCGUUCGAUCGAAGCGACCUGAUUCCAUGCCGCCUGCGCGCAGCAAUGUCCAUGUUGCUCGGGCAGUGAGAAAGUGUUCACAAACAGUGACGACGCCGCGCGACCUAAUAAUUAGCCUACGCACGCGCACCUAGUGCUUUAGAGACAGUCGACCAGGUGUUUUCGAGAAAGCCGUUGUGUAUAUGCGUAUGUAUGAGUGUGUCUGCAUUCAUAUUGUAUUAAAAAAUGACAUACAACAUGUCACGACCAGUGUUGACGUGAAAUUUGAAGAGAAAAAAGAAAGAAGAACAACUACACGCUGACGUUGCGCGUUUGAGGCAGCAGUGCACGUCAUCAGACGUCCGUGACACCGGAACAUUUCACCGUGUCCCGACGCGGUUGCUGUACAGCGGCUCGAGCUGUGACUGCCCUGCCCCCGUACUACUGAAUCUUCAUUUGCAGGACCGACGUCUAAAUGAUUUUAUAUAGGUUAUAGCAGUAAGCCAGUAAUGAAUAUGUGUUUAGGAGCAUGAAUUCAAUAUUUAUUGGAGCUUCAUUUGCAGAUUCAAUAUUUAUUGGAGCUCCAUUUGCAGGAUCAACGCAAGAAUGAAUCAGAUAGCAAGAAAACGCAAGAAACAUUUGUUUAGGAACAAGAAAAACGCUGGAUUCUUUUGUUAUUAUAAUACCUAACUGUAAAAGUAAAAGGUACAAGCCCUGCUCGACCAAAAAUACAUCUGAUCUGAGCAUCCAAGCCCAGACGCACGCACGCACGCACACAAACACAAUGGGAAACAGCCAAACGUCCAGGCCGCAUCUCCCCCGUAGUAUAGGAUCGAUGAUGAUGAGAUGCGUCGUGAAGCCGCACAGCCGCGCGCGGCGAACGAGCCCCGCCUGCCUCUUCCCUAUCUUCCCUCGUUACGUAGCGGUAGCAGUUCUGUUUUCCAUGGCGGGACCAGGAGGGUCGAGUGGAGCCGGGCUUCAGGCCCGUGCGUAGGUCUGUCCGAGGUGCGCGGCGCGGAGGUCGGCGGGGUCGGCGCCGGCGGCGCGGUUGGCGGGGCGGUAGUGGCCGGUGACGGGGUCGGGCACCCACGAGGCGUCGGCCGCGGCCUUCUCGGCCUCCCUGGCCGCCUUCCCGUCCGCGGCCGCCGCGGCGCCGCGCCUCAUCGCCCCGGAGGAGGCCGCCGCCGCGUAGCCCCUGGCGGUGGCCGGGGCCAGCCGCUGGGCGAGCGCGCGGGCAGCAGCGGAGCCGGAGAGAGCGAGGGCCAUCGGAUCCGUCUGCGUUGGACGAUCGAACGGCUGGUUGGCUCUGGCUCUGUGCUGCUGCUACUGCUCCAACGUGGGCGUUUGAGGCUUGGUGGGCUUUGGUGGUGUGGGGGAACGAGAGAGGCCAGGGCCCGUAUAUAAAGGGAGACGGGGAGGGGCAGGCGCAGUAAAAAGGGCCCAACGGCACGGGGUUUUGUCAAAGAUUCGGUGGCUUUUGGGCGCCGUCACUCAGCGCGGCGAACCGGCACGUGCCGACGCGACGGACGCAGGAAAUGGCGCCGCGGGUUCGUCGCUUCCUUCCUACGUGGUCGACUUGAUUUUUUUUUGAGAGAGUCGACUUGAUAUUUUUGUUUACUCUUCUCGAGCUGAUGUUGCCGUGCCUCGCCCGGUCGACAUGAGCCAGCGAGAGCGACGCACGUUUAAUAAAAAGUUGGUGGCAAUUAGGACUUUUGAGAGGAGUAUAAGCCAGGUCGUGUUGGGUUCGUUGUCAACGGCGAAGUUGCCCUAGCUCUUCUCGGUUUGGUGCGCACUAAAAUUAAUUAAAAAUAUUAACGCCCACAUGUGUGACAUAUUUACACUUUACCCACACUCGUUGAUACACGUUGAUUUUAUUUUACAUGAAUCUUAAAAAAAUCUGUUAGAUUUUCAGUGCCAUGUGGGCAUCAUCGUGUGUGUAGGCGUUGGAGAGUUCAUCCACACGACCCGCAACACACGGUUGCCAACUGCGCCGUGUGGACGAACUAAUUUUUGGCCACACAGUCACCACCUGGUUCACGCAUGUGUGGAUGAACUGCUCUUCGCCCGCACGACACUCGUACAUUGUUCGAUGGCAACUGCAGUUGCACGUACGUGGCAACUAGGAUAACACACAUGGCAACUAUGAUUCGUUGCUAGGCGGCAGCUGCAGUUGUGCGUAUGUGGCAACUAGAGAGGUAAAUAAAGUAGCACAUGAACUGGCUAGAUUAGCUAGAUUUUUUUUCAGACUUCGGUUUGGUUUGAGGAGCCUUUUAGUGAAAUUGUAACACUUCUCACAAACGAUGUAUUGGUUAUUGCUAAUGAAUAAAAUUUCGUUUAUUUAAAAAAAGGUAAUCACGCAUUGCAACUACGAUAAAUCAUACGUGGCAACAAUGGUUGGACCACACGAGGCAACUAGUUAAUUACACAUGGCAACUAGUUAAUCACCCAUGGCAACUAUUAUUUGACCACGUAGGGUAAGUAGUUUAUCACACAUGGCAACUAUAGUUUGAACACGUGGCAACUAUCGUUACUUACACAUGGCAACUACAUUUGUCAUCCCAUGGAUGCGCCAGGACGUGUGGGCAGAUUUGCUUUAUGCCACACACGCGGGGUGAAGAUGAGUAGUAGUUCAUUAGGCGUGCGACACGAAGUAGCGGCGCCCACACGUAUGGGCAGCCCGAAUGUUCGCCCACACAUGAUCUGUGUGGGCUGCCUUCUGCUUACACCACACACGGCGUAUGGGCGGAUGUCUAAUAAAUCACGCGUGUGGGCGUUAUCAGCGUCCAAAUUAAUUUUUCAACUCGCAUGCAGCGGGUCGCCGUCGCAUGGAUGCAACGCUGCGGCACCUUGGUCUCCCUCGCGUGUGGGUGCAGCGCCGGCUCAUGGAGGUCGUCGCCGCGCGGGGCAUCACCAAUUCACCAUGGCUGUCGGGGUCGUCAUUGCGUGAGGGAGCGCUGCGGCGCCAGAGCAAUGAUCAGUGUCGGGUCAUGGUCUUGUUAGAGCGCUGCCACGGCCUACGAAUCGCCGUCACUAAGGGCAUGUAUAAUACAUAGCCUCAAGGUGAUGCCUCGCAUGCCAUGUAGAAUCGAAUAUGACGUAAAGUAGGUUCGGAUAGGGAAGCGGGAUCCUCUCCAGGAGGCGGAUGCUUGAAGUAAAAAAGUGUGGUCCGAUGACAAAGCUGAAAAGGCUGGAAUGAAAAGCAAAGAUGCAUGUGUACUAGAGUCUUUAUUUUCUAUUUAAUAAUGAGGUCCACUAAUGAUAGCUUACAUUGAAGAGAAAAAUUAAUGUAGAUACCUCAGAUUACUUUUUAUCAUAAAGCAUAUAUAUUCAUAUGCCACAAUUGUACAUGCCCUAAGAAAGCGGCGCGGCAAUCAAUUGUCAUUGAAUCAUCGUCGCCUCCAGAUUGCCCUCACGGCUAGACAAAAAGUAGGAAGGGAAUAAUUUCCAAAAUUUCUGUUGAGCUAAUUAUUGUUAAUAGGGGGGUUUUCCUGAAAAUUAUGAUUAUUUUUUAAAAAGAUUCAAUUGAUGGCUGACAUAUAUUGAUUAUAACACGGAGGAGGCAGGAAAUAACCAAUUUGGUGGGUGAUCUGAGAAUCAAGGAUAAAAGAAGAAGAAACGACAAAAAGCAGUGGCUACUACGCUCAAUCCUUCGGAUGCAGCUUCAGUGACUUUAUGAAGCUAAGUCUCAUCGUACCUUAGCCCCCUCUAUCAGCCGUUCAUUGAAAAUCCGACGUACCAAAAUUGACUUAUAUUUUGAACGAAUUUUUUAAAACUGUUCAAAAAAAAUUGAAUUUUUUUUAAAUAAAUCAUAAAUGUUUCGUCUUAUAAUCUGGGAAAGUUUCAACCCAGUUGGAUGUAUGAUUUGUGAUUAAAUUGCCUUUUGAGCGCAAAUAAAUAAAUAAAUGUUUAUUCACAAACGACACAAUGUUUCGUUUUAUAAUCUGGGAAAGUUUCAACCCAGUUGGAUGUAUGAUUUGUGAUUAAAUAGCCUUUUGAGCGCAAAUAAAUAAAAAAUGUUUAUUCACAAACGAUACAUCCAAAUGAAUUGAAAUUUUCAUAGAAUACAAAACGAAACAUUUAUGAUUUAUUGAAAUUUUUUCAAUUUUUUUUAAACAGUUUUGAAAAAUUCGUAUGAAAAUUGGAUUAAUCUGGUAUGUCGGAUUAUCAAUAGACGGCUGAUAGAGGGGGCUAAGUUACCGUGAGACUUAGCUUCACAAAGUUACUGAAGCUGCGUCCCAAUCCCUUAUGGCAGUUUCCCAAAUGGGUCCACCAUGUCCUUGGCCCCUACUUGGCGUCAGAGCUCAAAAUCUCUCUUGACAACUGCGAUGAUAUCGUCGGUUGACGCCGCCUUAUCUCUAAAUGAGCACUCAUUUCUUUCCAUCCACAAUCUCUACAGGAUGAUCAUGGCUAGGGAUCGAACCGUUUUCCUCAAAAGUGGAUGAGCUUUGCUGAUGAUGGUGGCUACAAUCUCAAUUAACUUCGAUUUGUAGUUCCAUGUGCCUUCACUGUCGGCGUUCUAGGAACGGGGAUAUCCAGACUUGUCUGUCUGCGGACCACGGCGUGGCUCCAUCGAUGAUCUGAUACGGCCCAACUUCAGCAGCAAACAAAUCGAGAACCUCGCGGGGGGUCAAGCCUCGCGAGGCGGACGACACCAAGACCUCCACGAGGAGCAGCCUCUCCAGACUGGCUCCUGAGGAGCGGAGAUUCCUAUGCAAGCCUCACCUCGCGAGGUUCGGAUGACGUGAGCCAUGACGACCAAGGCUAGGCGGGCGUCAGCGGGCGCAGUGUACUAGUUUCCUCUUUGGUGCUAAGGAGGCACGCGCAGGCGCGGAGUCCCGAAGAAUCAGCCAAAGGUUUUCAUUCCGGUGCAACAAGACCAAGACCGCCAGGACGGCAGGACGGAGGUCAUCGUCGAGCCCACCACGGCGCCACGAUCAGAGUCUUUUGCAGACGAAGACCACUUUUGUCAGGAUGGCAUGUAAUAGUUGUCUCACUUCGAAUCUGGUCGUUGUGGGAUCCCUUCCCGCCUUCAUUCGAGAAGAGGACCAAGUCCACUAUAAAUAGGACCUAGCCACCACCAUAGAGGGGGAUCGAUUCGACCCUGAUUAGCUCACCAGCUCACUCGAGCCCAAAAACACCCCUCCUCCUGAGAUUGUUCUCCACUGUACUAGUUCAUCCUCAACCCAUUGAGGCCAAUCCACCACAAAGCAGGAGUAGGGUUUUACACUCCAAGGUGGCCUAAACCUGGGUUUUACACUGGGGAGGACGAGUUCUUUGCACACACCCCAGAGUUCGAACCUCUCAAGGGUCUGCGGAACCCGAAAUCCGACAUUUGUCGCGCCAGGUAGGGGUGCAUUGAAGAUCCACCGCUCUGUCCGUUGCGCUCCGCUGUUGGCUCUCAUGACGGACUCUCCCACAUCGACCGGAUCGACACGCGCCAUCGGAGAAGCCGAGGGCCUCCGAGCUUUCACCCCCGCCCUGCGGCGGGUGCAGUGGCCAUCCAAGUUCAGGCCGGAGCUGCCGCCCCGAUACGACGGCGCGGCGGACCCGACAGAUUUUCUCCAGGCGUAUGAGGAAGCUGUGUUGACGGCCGGCGGCGACGACAAAGCCAUGGCCAACUGGCUUCCUAUGGCCCUCGCAGGUGCGCCACACGCCUGGCUGCUCAACCUGCCGGGAUCUUCUGUGGCCUCCUGGGAAGAACUGUGCAGCCUCUUCGCCGCGCGCUUCGCGGCUCCGGCGCCCCACACUGUCGUGGCCCUCCUCGGUGGUUCACGGGCACCGCCCUCAGACCGCCACAUCAAGCAGUUCUUUUGCCAAGUGGGUGCCGCCCACGAGCAACGGGGGGCUCCGCUGGGCUGGGCGGCACCCAAGGUAGACCUCACCUUCGACUCAAGGGACCACCACGGGCGCUGACGCGCUCCUGAUGCUCUGCACACCCCCACCAUCUGCAAUUUGGCGGUCACCAUGACCCACAUUGACGGUGGAGUUGGCAUCAAUGUGCUCUUUGUGCAGGCCUUCGGUUUGCUUCAUGUACCUCAUGACAUGCUCCGCCCCACCAAACCCUUCUCCGGGGUCGUUGACGGCUCCACCAGCCCUUGGGGCAGAUCCGCCUCCCGGUCACCUUCGGCACCCGCGACAACUACCGCACCGAGCUUAUCGACUUCGACAUCGCCUGUAUCGGCCUCCCGUACAACGCCUCCUCGGGUAUCCAGCCUUGGCCUAGUUCAUGGCGACUCACCCUGCCUACAACCUCAUGAAGAUGCCGGGGAGCAGCGGUGUCCUCACUGUGGCAGGAGAUACCAAGGAAGCGUUGAUAGCCCUCAGACUCACCUUCAGGGCCGCGGCGGCUGCGCGACCAAGCGAGGAAGGAGCCCCGGAGGCCCCAAGGGCCACGCCGGUGAAGAAGAAACAGUUGUUCUCCCAAGAUCGCACCGAGACAAAGCAGGUGCUGGUUGACGAAGAUGGGGCAUCAGGUGCCACCUUCACCAUAGGUGCCGGUCUCCCUCCGGGUCAAGAGGAGGCGUUGGUCGACUUUUUGCGCAGGAACAAGGAUGUGUUCGUGUGGGAGCCUAAGGAUCUAGUCGGGAUCCCGAGUGGGAUAAUCGAGCAUCACCUAAGGGUAUGCCCUAACGUGCACCUGAUAAUCCCCAAGUGCAGGGAAUCAUCGUAGCAAUUUCCAAAGGUGGAGGUGAUAAGUAUGGAGUGUCGAACCAAUAAGGAGCUAAAGGUAAGAUCAAUAUUCUCUCAAGCCCUAUCUGCCACUGAUACGACUCUACGUACACCGAACGUUUGCUUCCAACUAACAACGAGAAAUAAAACUACGUUGUGGGUAUGAAGUGGAUAACUUUGCAUGAUAUCAGAGAGCUAAAAUAUGAAAGUAGGUGUUGUUAUCAUAAAGUUAGAAUAUAUUACUAAAUAUUAUAAAUAGCGAGUGUGGAAUAAUGGUGGAUCGGUGUGCGGAAUUGUCCUAGGCAAUUGUUAACAAGACCGAUAGUCGUCAUUGCAAUUUCAUAUGAGGGAGAGGCAUAAGCUAACAUACUUUCUCUACUUGGAUCAUAUGCACUUAUGAUUGGAACUCUACCAAGCAUCCGCAACUACUAAAGAUCAUUAAGGUAAAACCCAACCAUAGCAUUAAAGCAUCAAGUCUUCUUUAUUCUCAUACGCAACAACCCCCUUACUCGGGAUUGUGUUUUAGUCACUCACCAACUCACUAUAAGCGAAUCAUGAACGUAUUGCAACACCCUAGAGCGGGAAUCCCUCACGCUUGCGCGACACGGAGGGCACCAUAGGACAACACCAAAGUAAAACAUACAACUCAUACCAAUCUAGAUCAUCAAUCAACCCAAGGACAAAGGAUAUCUACUCAAAACAUCAUAGUGAUGGCAACACAUCAUUGGAUCAUAAUAUGUGGCAUAAAGCACCAUGUUCAAGUAGGGAUUACAGCAGGGUGCGGGAGAGUGGACUGCGUAAAAGAGAUGAGGAUGGUGAUGAUGAUGGUGAUGUUGAUGAAGAAGAUCGCCGCGGCGAUGAUUCUCCUCUCGAUGGCACUCCGGUGCCACCAAGAGAGAGGAGGAGAGGUUCCCCCCCCUUGUGCUUCCUCCUCCAUGGCCUCCCCCUGGAUGGGGAGAGGUUCUCCCUCUGGUCCUUGGCCUUCAUGACGAUGAUGGCCCCUCCGGGAUCCUCCUCCAUGCCCUCCGGUGAUGAUGGCCCCCUCCGGCAGGGUGCCAGAGAGGGCCUAGAUUGGUUUUCGGUGGCUACGGGGGCUUCUGGCGGCAGAACUCCCGAUCUAGGUUAAUUUUCCGAGGUUUCUAUAUUUAUAAGAAUUUUUGGCGAUGGUCUCACGUCAAGGAGAUGCCCGAGUCAUCCACGAGGCAGGUCCACGCGCUUGGGGGGGGGGCUCCCUUGUGGACGGCCCGGGACUCUUCUGGCCCAACUCUUUUACUCUGGGGUCUUCUUUUGGUCCAUAAAAAAUCAUAAAAAAUUGGCACGUCAAUUGGGCUCCGUUUGGUAUUCCUUUUCUGUAAAACUCAAAAACAAGGAAAAAACAUAAACUGGCAUUGGGCUCUAGGUUAAUAGGUUAGUCCCAAAAAUCAUAUAAAAUAGCAUAUAAAUGCAUAAAAACAUCCAAGGUCGAUAAUAUAAUAGCAUGAAUACUUCAUAAAUUAUAGAUACGUUGGAGACAUAUCAGCACCUAGUGAAGCAAAAGGCACGGCGGUAGUCCACAGAAAAGCAGUCGUUCAUCGUCCAGGAGACUCACAAACUGCAAGAAGCCGGUGUCAUUUGGGAGGUGCGGUACCCGAAAUGGCUGGAGAAUCCGGUUGUCGUUCCCAAGAAGGGCGGGAAGGAGCGCAUGUGCAUCGACUUCACCAGCCUCAACAAGGCUUGCCCCCAAGACCCCUUCCCACUUCUGCGCAUCGAUCAGAUCGUCGACUCCACUGCCGAGUGCGACCUGUUGUGUUUUCUGGAUGCCUUCUCAGACGAUCCCCAAAUCAAGAUGGCGGUGCAAGAUGUUGAGAAGAUGGCUUUCCUAACCCCAUGCGGGGUGUAUUGCUACACCUGCAUGCCAUUCGGGCUGCGUAACGCUGGAGCAACUUUCCAGCGGCUGAUGCACAUCGCUCUCAGCCGGCUGCUCAGGAGGAACGCUGAGGCCUAUGUUGACGAUAUAGUGGUGAAGUCUCGGGAGGCGAGGACUCUCAUUGAAGACCUAGAAGAAACGUUUGCCAGCCUGCGCAAGGUGGAUCUACGGCUCAAUACGGAGAAAUGUGUGUUUGGCGUCCCCUUCGGCAAGCUGCUGGGCUUUCUGAUGUCGCAUAGGGGAAUCGAGGCCAACCCAGAGAAGGUCAAGGCCAUAGAAGGGAUGAGCCCACCACAGACCCUCAAGGAGAUGUAGAAGCUGGUGGGUUGUGUGACCUCGCUAGGGCGCUUCAUCUCCAAGUUGGGGGAGCGCGCCCUCCCAUUCUUCAAGCUGAUGAAAAAGAAGGGACCAUUCGAGUGGACUCCGGAGGCCGACGCGGCAUUCCAAGACCUCAAGAAGUACCUCACCAGCCCGCCGGUGAUGGUAGUGCCACACCCCCUUCGUGCCCCCGGUGCUCAACCUGACCUCCACUCCUCACUCGGCCAGCGCGGCGCUGGUGGCGGUUCAGGAGGAACGCCCGGCCAAGGGCUCUCAAAGCAGCACCCUGCGGCCGGCUGGAACGCACCAGCUUCAGGAUGGCGCUCCUGAGGCCUCGGCUACCCCAACAGAAGACCAAGCCCCUUAGGACGGAACUCCCGAGGCCCCGGCUACCUCAACCAGCGACCAGCCUCUUGAGGCCGUCGGGCCUUAGGAGGUGCAAGGCGUCACCUACACUUUCGCCCUCAUCGAGCACCCGGUGCACUUCGUCAGCACGGUGCUGCGCGAUGCGCGGGCAUGCUACCCCAUGCUGCAAAAGCUCUUUCUCGUGCUUCUCGUCACCUCCAGCAAGUUGCGCCACUACUUUCAAGGCCACCCCAUCAAGGUCAUCUCAGCUUACCCACUGGAGAGGGUGCUCAGGAGCCCCAAUGCGGCAAGGAGGGUUGCAGAAUGGAACAUCGAAUUGCAAGCAUUCCAGUUGGAGUUCAGCACCACCAGAGUCAUCACGGGAGCCGCACUCGCCGACUUCAUGGCGGAAUGGACGGACGCUCCCAUUCCCGAAGCAGGUGAGGACUGAUCCCUCUCACCAGGAAGCGAGGCACCAGACGGCUGGGUCAUGUACUUCGACGGCGCCUUCGCGCAUUAGGGUGCGGGGCUAGCACCGUGCUCAUCUCGCCCACCCAGGACAAUCUCUACUAUGCCGUGCAGCUCUGCUUCCAUCAGGGCGAGAAGGUCUCCAACAACAUCGCGGAGUACGAAGGCCUGAUCGCCGGUCUCAAGGCUGCGGCAGCCUUGGGAGUGAAGCGCCUCACGAUCAAGGGCGACUCCCAGCUCCUCGUCAACUUCUCCAACAAAGUAUACGAGCCAAAGGACGAGCACAUGGAGGCAUACCUUGCGGAGGUAUACAAAAUUGAGAAACAAUUCUUGGGCCUGGAACUGCAGCAUGUGCCGCGCGACACGAACAAGGAGGCUGACGACAUCGCCAAGAGGGCGUCCCGACGCUUUCCCCAAGAGCCUGGCGUCUUUGAGGAGCGGAUCUUCAAGCCUUCAGCAACCCCUCCUGCUGCGGAACCAACAUCGCCUCAAGAGGAGCUCCCACCAGCACCCCCCCUCGGGAGCCCCCGCUUGUGGCCCAACCUCGGGAGCACGUCUACUUCUCGCGCUCGAGCCUUAGGAGGGGUGCUAGACCGAAGAGUUUAAGGCGUACGUACUGCAGGGGACCCUGCCAGAGAAGGAGGAAGACGCUGAGCGUGUGGCUCGAUAGGCCACUGCCUACUACAUCUAGGACAGUGAGCUCUAUAUGAAACGGCCAAAUGAUGUUUCUCUACGAUGCAUCUUGAUACGUCUCCAUCGUAUCUACUUUUCCAAACACUUUUGCCCUUAUUUUGGACUCUAACUUGCAUGAUUUGAAUGGAACUAACCCGGACUGAUGCUGUUUUCAGCAGAAUUGCCAUGGUGUUAUUUUUGUGCAGAAAUAAAAGUUCUCGAAAUGACCUGAAAAUCAACGGAGAAUUAUUUUGGAAUAUAUAAAAAAUACUGGAAGAAAGAUCCAUGUCAGGGGGCCCACACCCUGUCCACGAGGGUGGGGGCGCGCCCUACCCCCUAGGCGCGCCACCUGCCUUGUGGGCCCCCUGACGCUCCACCGACCUCAUCCUUGACUCUAUAUAUUCACUUUCAGGGAGAAAAAAAUCAGGGAGAAGGAUUCAUCGCAUUUUACGAUAUGGAGCCGCCGUCAAGCCCUAAACUCUCUCAGGAGGGCUGAUCUAGAGUCUGUUCGGGGCUCCGGAGAGGGGAAUCCGUUGCCAUCGUCAUCAUCAACCUUCCUCCAUCACCAAUUUCAUGAUGCUCACCGUCGUGCAUGAGUAAUUCCAUCAUAGGCUUGCUAGACGGUGAUGGGUUGGAUGAGAUUUAUCAUGUAAUUGAGUUAAUUUUGUUAGGGUUUGAUCCGUAGUAUCCACUAUGUUCUGAGAUUGAUGUUGCUAUGACUUUGCUAUGCUUAAUGCUUGUCACUAGGGCCCGAGUGCCAUGAUUUCAGAUCUGUACCUAUUAUGUUUUCACUAAUAUAUGAGAGUUCUUGAUCCGAUCUUGCAAGUCUAUAGUCACCUAUUAUGUGUUAUGAUCCGUUAACCCCGAAGUGACAAUAAUCGGGAUACUUACCGGUGAUUACCGUAGUUUGAGGAGUUCAUGUAUUCACUAUGUGUUAAUGCUUUGGUCCGGUACUCUAUUAAAAGGAGGCCUUAAUAUCCCUUAGUUUCCAAUAGGACCCCGCUGCCACGGGAGGGUAGGACAAAAGAUGUCAUGCAAGUUCUUUUCCAUAAGCACGUAUGACUAUAUUCGGAAUACAUGCCUACAUUACAUUGAUGCAUUGGAGUUAGUUCUGUGUCACCCUAGGUUAUGGCUGUUACAUGAUCGAUCACAUCUGGCAUAAUUCUCCAUCACCAAUCCAAUGCCUACUAGCUUUUCCAAAUAUUGUUCUCCGCUUAUUUACUUUUCCGCUGCUACUGUUACAAUCACUACAAAACCCAAAAAUAUUACUUUUGCUACCGUUACCUUUUGCCAUCGUUACCACUAUUAUCAUAUUACUUUGCUACUAAACACUUUGCUGCAGAUAUUAAGUUUCCAGGUGUGGUUAAAUUGACAACUCAGCUGCUAAUACUUGAGAAUAUUCUUUGGAUCCCCUUGUGUCGAAUCAAUAAAUUUGGGUUGAAUACUCUACCCUCGAAAACUGUUGCGAUCCCCUAUACUUAUGGGUUAUCAAGAAUAUUUUCUGGCACCGUUGCCGGGGAGCAUAGCUCUAUUCUUUGAGUCACUUGGGAUUUAUAUCUGCUUAUCAUUAUGAAGAACUUGAAAGAUCAAAGAACCAAGAUUUUUCCCUCAACUACGAGGGGAGGUAAGGAACUGCCAUCUAGCUCUGCACUUGAUUCACCUUCUAUUUUGAGUAAUAUUGCGACACCUAAACCUGCUUCUGCUAUUAAUUCUGAUAUGUCGCAUGUUAUUGAUGAUGCCACUUCUACUAUGCAUGAUACUUAUGAUGAAACUACUUCUAUGCUUGAUACUACUGUGCCACUUGGUGAAUUUCUCGAUGAACAACUUGCUAGGGCUAGAGAGAAUGAAAUUAUUGAAAUUGAUAAUAUUGAUGAAAGUGAUGGUGAAGAUUCCCCCCCUAGAUAUGAAUUGCCUGUUGUUCCUGAGGGUUAUGUUAUGAAUGAAGAAACUGCUAGAGACUUUCUUGCCUGCAAUGAUAGAAGUGAUCUUAAGAAACUAUUAGCUAAGCUUAAAGAAAAAACUCUGAAUGCUAGAAUGAAAUAUGAUCCUGCUUAUGCUACUUCACCUAUCUUUAUUACUGAUAAGGAUUAUGAUUUCUCUGUUGAUCCUGAGUUAAUUACUUUGUUUGAAUAUGAUCUUUUCUAUGGCUAUGAAUCUGAAACUGUUGUGGCACAUCUUACUAAAUUAAAUGAUAUAGCUACCCUGUUCACUAAUGAUGAGAAAACUCGCUACUAUUAUAUCCUUAAAUUAUUUCUGUUCUCAUUAAAGGAUGAUGCUAAGAUAUGGUUUAAUUCUCUUGAUCAUGGUUGUGUGCGUAGUCCCUAGGAUAUGAUUUACUACUUCUCUGCUAAAUAUUUCCCCGCUCAUAAGAAACAAGCUGCUUUAAGGGAAAUAUAUAAUUUUAUGCAAAUUGAAGAAGAGAGUCUCCCACAAGCUUGGGGGAGGCUUCUCCGAUUACUUAAUGCUUUGCCUGAUCAUCCUCUCAAGAAAAAUGAAAUACUUGAUAUCUUUUAUAAUGGACUAACCGAUGCUUCCAGAGAUUACCUGGAUAGUUGUGCUGGUUGUGUUUUCAGGGAAAGAAUAGUUGAUCAAGCUAAAAUUCUAUUAAAAUAUGUUGACUAAUGAAAAUAAUUGGACACUUCCUGAACCAACUCCUAAGCCAACACCGAAGAAUAGGGGUAUUCUAUUUCUCAGUCCUGAAGAUAUGCAAGAGGCAAAGCAAUCUAUGAAAGAAAAAGGUAUAAAAGCUGAAGAUGUUAAGAAUUUACCACCUAUUGAAGAAAUACAUGGUCUUAAUUCAUCACCUAUUGAAGAAACACAUGGUCUCGAUAACCCGACACAGGUAGUAAAGGUAAACUCUCUCUACAGAUAUGAUAAAGCUGAAAUCCCUCCUGCUAAGUCUGCUAGCCAAUGUUUGGAUGAAUUUGAUAACUUUAUGGUUAAGCAAGAAGAUUUUAAUGCUUAUUUUGGUUGACAACUGAAACGCAAUGCUUAUAUGAUUGAACACUUGAGUGAUUAUAUGGCUAGUGUUAAAGGUGAACUUAAACUUAUUAGUAAACAUGCUUCUAUGGUUACCACUCAAGUAGAACAAGUACUUAAAGCUCAGAAUGAUUUGCUCAAUGAAUUAAAUAGUAAGAAGAAUGAUAAUGCUGUUAGAGUUAUGACUAGAGGUGGUAAAAUGACUCAGGAGCCUUUGUAUCCUGAGGGCCACCCUAAGAGAAUUGAGCAAGAUUCUCAGAGAACUACUAUAGAUGCACCUAGUCCUUCUAAAAGGAAGAAAAAGAAAAAUGACAGGACUUUGCAUGCUUCUAGUGAACCUGUUAUUGACACACCUGAGAAUCCUAAUGAUAUUUCUAUCUCCGAUGCUGAAACACAAUCUAGUAAUGAACAUGAACCUAGUGAUAAUGUUAAUGAUGAUGUUCAUGUUGAUGGUCAACCUAGCAAUAAUAAUGAUGUAGAAAUUGAACCUGCUGUUGAUCUUGAUAACCCACAAUCAAAAAAUCAACGUUAUGAUAAGAGAGACUUUGUUGCUAGGAAGCACGGUAAAGAAAGAGAACCAUGGGUUCAGAAACCCAUGCCUUUUCCUCCUAAACCAUCCAAGAAAAAGGAUGAUGAGGAUUUUGAGCGCUUUGCUGAAAUGAUUAGACCUAUCUUUUUGCGUAUGCGUUUGACUGAUAUGCUUAAAAUGAAUCCUUAUGCUAAAUAUAUGAAAUAUAUAGUUACUAAUAAAAUAAAGAUACCUAAAGCUGAGAUUUCCACCAUGCUUGCUAAUUAUACUUUUAAGGGUGGAAUACCAAAGAAACUUGGAGAUCCAGGAGUACCAACUAUACCAUGCUCCAUUAAAAUAAACUAUGUUAAAACUGCUUUAUGUGAUCUUGGAGCCGGUGUUAGUGUUAUGCCUCUCUCUUUAUAUCAUAGACUUGAUUUGAAUAAGUUGACACCUACUAAAAUAUUUUUGCAAAUGGCUGAUAAAUCAACUGCUAUACCUGUCGGUAUUUGUGAGGAUGUGCCUGUUGUGGUUGCAAACAUUACCAUUUUAACGAACUUUGUUAUUCUUGAUAUUCCCGAGGAUGAUAGUAUGUCUAUUAUUCUUGGAAGACCUUUUUUGAAUACUGCAGGGGCUGUUAUUGAUUGCACCAAAGGCAAUGUCACUUUUCAUGUUAAUGGUAAUGAGCAUACGGUACACUUUCUGAGGAAACAACCUCAAGUCCACAGUAUCAAUUCUAUUGGAAAAAUUCCAACAAUCACUAUUGGAGGUUUUGAAUUUCCUCUUCCUAUUGUCAAGAAGAAAUAUGAUAUUCUUAUUGUUGGGGACAUGCAUAUCCCCGUUGAGGUAACCUAGUGUUAUUCGAAAAUUCUCCGGUUUCAUGUUAUUCGAAAUGAGUUUGUUAACAAGACCUGAUCAAUCUUGUCAGUAGAUUCCUUUUGAUGAGCAUGAGAUGGAUGGAUUUAGAAAACACAACUCUCUAUACCCUCUUUUUACUUUCUGUUAUUUAUAUUAAAUAAAGCAAAAAUAGUAUUUUUCCGUCUGUUUUCUGAAUUAUCAAUGCAAUAAAAAUACCCCGAAAAUAAAAGUUCUCCAAAUGCCCUGAAAAUUAAAUAUGAUUUUUUCUAGAAUAUUUGAGAAUAUCUGGCAAUGAGAACACAGCAGGGGGAGCAAGCACCUGGCCACGAGGGUCCAGGGCGCGCCCCCUGCCUCGUGGGCCCAUGGUGGCUCCCCUCCACUUAUUCCAGCUACCACACACUCCUUCUUCCUCCAAAAAAAUAACUAGCCGGCUCAAACCCGAGUCCAAGCUCAUCUUGCUGCCAUUUUCGAUCUCCUUGCUCAAAGCUCCAUCACAAAACUGCUUUGGGGGAUUGUUCCUUGGUAUGUGACUCCUCCAAUGGUCCAAUUAGUUUUUGUUCUAGUGCUUUAUUCAUUGCAAAUUUUUGCUGCUUAGGUGACCCUGUUCUUGAGCUUGCAUGUCAAAUUUAUAUGGUCAAAAGUAGUUUUAAUGCACGAUAUUGUCUCUAGGCACUUGUAGCAGUAGUUGCUAUCAAUAUUGUUGAGUUUGGUUCACUUUUAUUUUUGAAGUUACUAAAAAUUUCAGAAAAUUUUAGAAAAAGAUGAAGAGAUUUUUGAGGGGCUCAUCGAGCCGAAGCUCGAAGGAUAAACAGAGUGAAGAGAACAAGAAGCCCAAGUAUAAUCUCCCUCGCACCGCAGAGGUUCGGCCGUGUGAAUGGCCUUGUGAUGAUUUCUUGAGAGCGGGCGGGAUUUGUGAUGAUUUCUAUGAGUUGACUGAGAAUGCAGGCCUCACCGCCUUCCUCCACGACCAACGCGAACAGUAUAUCUUACUCACCAAUAUCUUUGUGCAAAACUUUCAUUUCCAUGCUAGGAGCUCACCACCUAUGGUGGGAUUUUAUUUAUAUGAUGAGCAUAAGGAGAUGUCACUUCAUGAUUUCUGUCGGGUUUGUUUGAUCCCUUUUGAGGGCAGUGUAGAGGAACCACAUCGUGAUGAUGUGGAAGGGUUUAUUGAUACAAUUGUUGUAGGGGAAACGAGGGAAGUUUCCGAUGCAAGAAUUACUAGCAUACAUUUUCCUGUUUUACAUUACUUCGCAAUAUUUGCUAGUAGAUGCUUAAUUGGUCGUGGAAACUGUGGCAACCUUAGUGCCACUGAUAUUGUUAUUUUUUGCCAUGCCUUGUUCCGUGAUGACACAUUUAGUAUGGGCGCUAUUGUUGCAAAGUGGUUAAAUCUUAACCGCACUAAGGGCCCCAUCCUUGGAGGCAUCUUCGCCUCGCGCCUCGCUGCAUGCUUUAACAUACCUAUUAGGCAUUAUGAGAAGGAAGAGAAGUUGCUGCCUCCUGUUUUUCUAGACUAUAAGAGUAUGGUAGUGCAUGAUUUUAUCAUUAAGAAUAAGGAAAAGAUGCUUAAGUACAAGCUAAUAUUUGAUAAAAAUCACCAUGAGACUAUUACUUUGCCUCCUCCUUCCUUGUUGGACUUAUCUGCAGGCAAGUAGCUUGUUCCGCCGGAGGCCAUUCACGCCUACCGAAACCCCACACCAGCUAUAGAGCCAGAGAUGGAACCACAAUUUGAUCCUCACCGACAGUCUAUUUAUCAGUGGAAUCCGGAAGAGAUCGCCAACCAGUGGCACCAAGAGGAUUCUUCUCAAUACGACCGCAACUAUUACUUUGGAUAUCCGCCAGGCCAGCCGUGGCCAUAGACCAACUUAGGCCAAAAGCCUAAGCUUGGGGGAGUACGUAUCUCUCACCGACAUUACAUUCCUGUUCACACACUCAUGCUAGUUGUCGGUGCUCAUACUUUUUCAUUGUAAUAUCCAUGCUAGUUUAUCUCCUUUUUAUGCUUUCUACUUGUGUGUUUGAUAAACCUUAAGAAAAACAAAAAAAAAA
RNAcentral lists this long non-coding RNA (17567 nucleotides) under Triticum aestivum (bread wheat). Its description in RNAcentral is "long non-coding RNA (TAES_LNC025462)". The record is from RNAcentral. Lineage: Eukaryota; Viridiplantae; Streptophyta; Magnoliopsida; Poales; Poaceae.